RNAcentral lists this transfer RNA (68 nucleotides) under Platycheirus angustatus. RNAcentral describes it as "tRNA-Tyr". It matches the Rfam family "tRNA". Rfam says of the family: Transfer RNA (tRNA) molecules are approximately 80 nucleotides in length. Their secondary structure includes four short double-helical elements and three loops (D, anti-codon, and T loops). The record is from RNAcentral. Lineage: Eukaryota; Metazoa; Arthropoda; Insecta; Diptera; Syrphidae.
GAUUAAAUGGCUGAAAAUAUAGGCGGUAGACUGUAAAUUUAUUUAUAAGAAAUUAUUCUUUUUAAUCA